RNAcentral lists this ribosomal RNA (507 nucleotides) under uncultured bacterium. RNAcentral's name for it is "partial 16S ribosomal RNA". The record is from RNAcentral.
GUAGUUAGCCGGUGCUUCUUCUGUGAGUGAUGUCCUUCCUGCCGGCUAUUAACCCGCAGGCCUUCUUCCUCACUGAAAGUGCUUUACAACCCGAAGGCCUUCUUCACACACGCGGCAUGGCUGGAUCAGGGUUGCCCCCAUUGUCCAAUAUUCCCCACUGCUGCCUCCCGUAGGAGUCUGGGCCGUGUCUCAGUCCCAGUGUGGCUGAUCAUCCUCUCAGACCAGCUACGGAUCGUCGCCUUGGUGAGCCGUUACCUCACCAACCAGCUAAUCCGACAUAGGCUCAUCCGAUAGCGCGAGGCCCGAAGGUCCCCCGCUUUCCCCCGUAGGGCGUAUGCGGUAUUAGCCUGGGUUUCCCCAGGUUAUCCCCCACUACCGGGCAGAUUCCUAUGCAUUACUCACCCGUCCGCCGCUCGCCACCAGGGAGCAAGCUCCCCGUGCUGCCGCUCGACUUGCAUGUGUUAGGCCUGCCGCCAGCGUUCAAUCUGAGCCAGAAUCAAACUCUGA